AGAGUUUGAUCCUGGCUCAGAACGAACGCUGGCGGCGCGCCUAAUACAUGCAAGUCGAACGAGAAUGUGUAGCAAUACACAUGUACAGUGGCGAACGGGUGAGGACUACAUGGGUAACCUACCCUCGAGUGGGGAAUAACUAGCCGAAAGGUUAGCUAAUACCGCGUACGCCUCCCGGACUGCGGUUCGGGAGGGAAAGCGAUACCGUGGGUAUCGCGCUCUUGGAUGGGCUCAUGCCCUAUCAGCUUGUUGGUGAGGUAUCGGCUCACCAAGGCAUCGACGGGUAGCUGAUCUGAGAGGAUGAUCAGCCACACUGGCACUGCGACACGGGCCAGACUCCUACGGGAGGCAGCAGUGAGGAAUAUUGCGCAAUGGGGGCAACCCUGACGCAGCGACGCCGCGUGAGUGAGGAAGGCCUUCGGGUCGUAAAGCUCUGUCAAAGGGAAAGAAGUGCAUGAUGGUUAAUACCUGUCAUGUUUGACGGUACCCUUAAAGGAAGCACCGGCUAACUCCGUGCCAGCAGCCGCGGUAAUACGGAGGGUGCAAGCGUUGUUCGGAAUCACUGGGCGUAAAGGGCGCGUAGGCGGUUUGAUAAGUCAGAUGUGAAAGCCCACGGCUUAACUGUGGAAGUGCAUUUGAAACUGUCAGACUUGAGUAUCAGAGGGGAAAGUGGAAUUCCCGGUGUAGAGGUGAAAUUCGUAGAUAUCGGGAGGAAUACCGGUGGCGAAGGCGACUUUCUGGCUGAAUACUGACGCUGAGGCGCGAAAGCGUGGGGAGCAAACAGGAUUAGAUACCCUGGUAGUCCACGCUGUAAACGAUGUCAACUAGAUGUAGGGGGUGUUGAUCCCCUCUGUGUCGCAGCUAACGCAUUAAGUUGACCGCCUGGGGAGUACGGUCGCAAGAUUAAAACUCAAAGGAAUUGACGG
This 926-nucleotide ribosomal RNA is filed under the name uncultured bacterium. Its description in RNAcentral is "bacterial SSU rRNA". It matches the Rfam family "Bacterial small subunit ribosomal RNA", at positions 8 to 916 of the family's 1533-position model. The record is from RNAcentral.